GUAAUAGGUAUGCUUUAGGAGGGGCUUGCGCCAUAUUAGUUAGUUGGUAAGGUAAUGGCCUACCAAGACGAUGAUGUGUAGCUGGACUGAGAGGUUGAACAGCCACAUUGGGACUGAGACACGGCCCAAACUCCUACGGGAGGCAGCAGUAGGGAAUUUUCGGCAAUGGAGGAAACUCUGACCGAGCAACGCCGCGUGAAUGACGAAGUACUUCGGUAUGUAAAGUUCUUUUAUCAAGGAAGAAAAGCAAAUGGCGAACCAUUUGUUUGCCGGUACUUGAUGAAUAAGCCCCGGCUAAUUAUGUGCCAGCAGCCGCGGUAAGACAUAAGGGGCAAGUGUUAUCCGGAAUUAUUGGGCGUAAAGGGUGCGUAGGCGGUCUAGUAAGUCAGUGGUGUAAUGGCAACGCUUAACGUUGUCCGGCUAUUGAAACUGCUAAACUUGAGUUAGAUAGAGGCGAGUGGAAUUCCAUGUGUAGCGGUAAAAUGCGUAAAUAUAUGGAGGAACACCAGAGGCGUAGGCGGCUCGCUGGGUCUUAACUGACGCUGAGGCACGAAAGCGUGGGGAGCAAACAGGAUUAGAUACCCUGGUAGUCCACGCCGUAAACGAUGAGUACUAAGUGUCGGGUUAAACCGGUACUGAAGUUAACACAUUAAGUACUCCGCCUGAGUAGUACGUACGCAAGUAUGAAACUUAAAGGAAUUGACGGGACUCCGCACAAGCGGUGGAUCAUGUUGUUUAAUUCGAAGAUACCCGAAAAACCUUACCAGGUCUUGACAUGUUUUUGCAAAAUGAUAGUAAUAUCGUGGAGGUUACCAGAAACACAGGUGGUGCAUGGUUGUCGUCAGCUCGUGUCGUGAGAUGUUAGGUUAAGUCCUAAAACGAGCGAAACCCUUAUCGUUAGUUGCCAGCACGUUAUGGUGGGGACUUUAACGAGACUGCCAAUGAUAAAUUGGAGGAAGGUGAGGAUCACGUCAAAUCAGCAUGCCCCUUAUGACCUGGGCUACAAACGUGAUACAAUGGCUGUUACAAAGGGUAGCUGAAACGCAAGUUCUUGGCCAAUCCCCAAAAACAGUCCCAGUCCGGAUUGAAGUCUGCAACUCGACUUCAUGAAGUUGGUAUCGCUAGUAAU
RNAcentral lists this ribosomal RNA (1129 nucleotides) under 'Allium cepa' phytoplasma. RNAcentral describes it as "bacterial SSU rRNA". It matches the Rfam family "Bacterial small subunit ribosomal RNA", at positions 202 to 1342 of the family's 1533-position model. Lineage: Bacteria; Bacillati; Mycoplasmatota; Mollicutes; Acholeplasmatales; Acholeplasmataceae. The record is from RNAcentral.